This 439-nucleotide ribosomal RNA is filed under the name uncultured bacterium. RNAcentral's name for it is "partial 16S ribosomal RNA". It matches the Rfam family "Bacterial small subunit ribosomal RNA", at positions 339 to 795 of the family's 1533-position model. The record is from RNAcentral.
CUACGGGGCGCUGCAGUGGGGAAUAUUGCACAAUGGAGGAAACUCUGAUGCAGCAACGCCGCGUGGAGGAUGACACUUUUCGGAGCGUAAACUCCUUUUAUAUAGGAAGAAGAUGACGGUACUAUAUGAGUAAGCGCCGGCUAACUCCGUGCCAGCAGCCGCGGUAAUACGGAGGGCGCAAGCGUUACUCGGAAUCACUGGGCGUAAAGAGCGUGUAGGCGGAUUAAAAAGUCAGAAGUGAAAUCCUAUAGCUUAACUAUAGAACUGCUUCUGAAACUCUUAAUCUAGAAUAUGGGAGAGGUAGAUGGAAUUUCUGGUGUAGGGGUAAAAUCCGUAGAGAUCAGAAGGAAUACCGAUUGCGAAGGCGAUCUACUAGAACAUUAUUGACGCUGAGACGCGAAAGCGUGGGGAGCAAACGGGAUUAGAUACCCCGGUAGUC